This 229-nucleotide non-coding RNA is filed under the name Trichuris trichiura (human whipworm). Its description in RNAcentral is "T-box sequence". It matches the Rfam family "T-box leader". Rfam says of the family: Uncharged tRNA acts as the effector for transcription antitermination of genes in the T-box leader family. T-boxes are found upstream of many aminoacyl-tRNA synthetase genes and some amino acid biosynthetic genes usually in Gram-positive bacteria. The record is from RNAcentral. Lineage: Eukaryota; Metazoa; Nematoda; Enoplea; Trichinellida; Trichuridae.
AAAAAAUCGUCUUUAAGAGAAGUAGCUAGGAUAGAAAAAAUCACAGAAAGUUUCGGCUGAUGAGAAGAAACAUUUUUUCCCUAGUGAAUGGACUUAUUGGAGCGUUCUUGAACCAGAGUAGGGAACGACGGGAGCUCCCGUUACAGAGUACGAUCGUUGUUGGACGAUUAGAGUUGCUGUUUGCGAACAGUAAAAAAAGAGGUGGUACCGCGCUGCUUGCGCCCUCAAA